This 490-nucleotide ribosomal RNA is filed under the name uncultured bacterium. RNAcentral's name for it is "partial 16S ribosomal RNA". It matches the Rfam family "Bacterial small subunit ribosomal RNA", at positions 30 to 507 of the family's 1533-position model. The record is from RNAcentral.
AGUGAACGCUGGCGGUAGGCCUAACACAUGCAAGUCGAACGGCAGCACAGGAGAGCUUGCUCUCUAGGUGGCGAGUGGCGGGCGGGCGAGGAAUACAUCGGAAUCUGCCCAGUCGGGGGGGAUAACGUAGGGAAACUGACGCUAAUACCGAGUACGACCUGCGGGUGAAAGAGGGGGAGCGCAAGACCGCUGGCGAUUGUGUGAGCGGGGGUCGUAUUAGUUAGUUUGGGGGGUAAUGGCCCACCAAGGCGACGAGCCGUAGCGGGUCUGAGAGGAUGAUGAGCCACACUGGAACUGAGACACGGUCCAGGCUCCUACGGGAGGCAGCAGUGUGGAAUAUUGGGCAAUGGGCGCAAGCCUGCUCCAGCCAUACCGAGUGGGUGAAGAAGGCCUUCGGGUUGUAAAGCCCUUUUGUUGGGAAAGAAAUCUUUCAGGCUAAUACCCUGGGAGGAUGACGGUACCCAAAGAAUAAGCACCGGCUAACUUCGUG